CCACCACAGCCCCACCUUUACUGCACACAGUUUAUAUUUAUGUGGUUAUCAGAAGGCACCGUGUUUCAUUCCAGCUGGGCAGGAACUCAGUUCACUGGUUGGUAAUGGCUACCAUAUGUGAUAAAAGGAAGCCAAAUAAAAUCAUAUAUGCAUCAGAUAAAUAGCUGUAGGGCCACGGAUUUCAGAGGAAUUGGAAGAGACACGAGACCUCCAGUGACCACAAUAUCAGAUUCAAGAUUGCAAAUUGCUUGUUCAGGAGCCCAUCAUGCUUUCAGAAGUCAGCAGGAAGAACAAGGAGCCACUAGAAAUGGAACAUAAUCAAUCCUUUUUGAUAACAGCUAUUUUAAAGAACGGUUGAGGUCAGCUGUAAAAUAUAACUGCAAUUGUACAGCUGAGCCUGUAAAAUUACCCUUUGCUAAUACAGUUAUGGCAGCUUACACUGAGCAGUCUGUGCCAUGGAGCUUAUGGAAACAUUACAUUUGCUUAAAAUUCCACUCUGUUUCCAGAGGAUGACACUCAGAAGGAUGUCUGGAGGGAGUGUCUAUAUGUACUGCACCGUUCUGAGUCACCAGGCAGCUCUGUGAUAUAAUUGUCUUUGUAACUCUAAUGGUGACCUGCUGAACAGAAGCUAGAACCA
Long non-coding RNA from Cyanistes caeruleus (blue tit), 637 nucleotides. RefSeq lists it as uncharacterized. NCBI's taxonomy places the organism in Eukaryota, Metazoa, Chordata, Aves, Passeriformes, Paridae. The record is from RefSeq and is a predicted model, not a curated record.